RNAcentral lists this long non-coding RNA (912 nucleotides) under Homo sapiens (human). RNAcentral describes it as "HSALNT0367117". Lineage: Eukaryota; Metazoa; Chordata; Mammalia; Primates; Hominidae. The record is from RNAcentral.
AAAAAAAAAAAAAAAAAAAAAGCUUUUAAACUUGGAAAAAGUAAUUUGCAUCAGUAUAUAGCAAAGAACCAAUGACCAAAUGCAGGAGAGUACAACAGAGAUUAUUAAGACUUCACACAUGGUCCUUUAAAUAAUUAGAAAAUCAUUAACAUGCUUAGCUUGGCAAUUCAGAUAACAGUAAUUACUUUAGCCAGUACCCAUCCCAAAAGGUACAGGAUAUUUUGGACAUUCUUUCACUUGCUCAUUCAAAAAUAUUUCCUGGUGUCCUGGGUUGAGAAGCAGGCUUGGGGAGGGAGAUUAAUGUCCAUGAUGUUUGUGAAGGCAGGCUCCUGGGAUCGCACUUGUAGAUGGAAAACGAAGGAGGAGGAUUGUGGAGAGAGAGAGGAGAUGGUUCCUAUACAGCCUCGGUUGACUCACAGAGAGCGCUGAAGCUAGCCUGGCCUCUCAGCUGUUGUCCAUUCUUGGGGUAAUGAAGCAGGGCUUUUAUCCUCUGCCUCCAUCCAGUCACUGGAUGUGGGCUACUCCCAGAAAGGGAGUAACCUUAGGUGAGGCAGCGCUGAAGAGGCCUGACAGCUGAGGCUUGUCUACUGACAACACUCCCAGCAGCUGAGGGGGAUAAGACCUCCAGGCUCAAGGGUGAGCUCUACGGCCCAACACAGCGUCCACCACACUGACGCAAUAUGAUGCCGACAAAAUAAACAGGCUUUUCGAUCUUCUGUAACUUGAAGGUGAGACGGGAAAGUGGGCUGGAGUUGAGCAGAGUUCAGAGUUCUCCUAGCUAGGAACUGUCACAGCCACCUCAACCUUCAGCAACCACCACUGUUCAAGGCAACAUCCUUCAGCAGCAGAAAGAUUGACUCGCUGUAGGCUCAGACAUGGGGCCUCACUAUGUUUCACAGGCUGGUCUAAAAC